This 393-nucleotide ribosomal RNA is filed under the name uncultured bacterium. RNAcentral's name for it is "bacterial SSU rRNA". It matches the Rfam family "Bacterial small subunit ribosomal RNA", at positions 355 to 745 of the family's 1533-position model. The record is from RNAcentral.
UGAGGAAUAUUGGGCAAUGCCCGCAAGGGUGACCCAGCAACGCCGCGUGGAGGAUGAAUGUCGUAAGAUUGUAAACUCCUGUUAGAGGGGAAGAAUAGUACCGGUUGGACAGGUAUAUGACUGUACCCUCAGAGAAAGCCCCGGCUAACUACGUGCCAGCAGCCGCGGUAAUACGUAGGGGGCAAGCGUUGUCCGGAUUUACUGGGUGUAAAGUGCGCGCAGGCGUGAUAAAAAGUCAGUGGUGAAAUCCUACAGCUUAACUGUAGAACUGCCUUUGAUACUUUUAUUCGUGAGUUCGGGAGAGNGAGACGGAAUUGCAGGUGUAGUGGUGAAAUACGUAGAUAUCUGGAAGAACACCAGUUGCGAAGGCGGUCUCUUGGUCCGACACUGACG